UGAUGAGAAACUUCUAGUCUCCUGAACUAAACUGAAGAAGAAAAUUUUCGCUCCUAUCUGACA
Tetrahymena thermophila SB210 is the source of this 63-nucleotide small nucleolar RNA. It matches the Rfam family "Tetrahymena snoRNA TtnuCD13". The record is from Rfam. Lineage: Eukaryota; Ciliophora; Oligohymenophorea; Hymenostomatida; Tetrahymenidae.